GUGGUGGCUCAGAGGCAGAGUGCUUGCCUAGCAUGUGUGAGGCAUUGGGUUCAAUUCUCAGCACCACA
RNAcentral lists this transfer RNA (68 nucleotides) under Marmota monax (woodchuck). Its description in RNAcentral is "tRNA.Ala". Lineage: Eukaryota; Metazoa; Chordata; Mammalia; Rodentia; Sciuridae. The record is from RNAcentral.